UUAUCAUUAGGCGAUGAUUCAGAAACAUGUGUUAUUGGGUCAUUACUAUUACUACCGGAAGCGCCAUGUACCUCUUUUUUUAUUUCCACCCCUACCAGUAACUUUUCUACACGCUCUUUUAACAGCACUAAACAUAUUGUAAAAAUGAAAGUAUAAGCUAAAAUUAAAUAUGCAAUUAAAAUAUUAAAUAAGAGAAAGAGUUGGAGGGAAUGCACCGAUAAAAAUUAAAGUAUAAGCUGAAAUUAAAUAUGCAAUUAAAAUAUUAAAUAAGAGAAAGAGUUGGAGGGAGUGUACCGAAUUCGACAAUAAAUUGAGCACUUGAUUACGCAAAUCCGGUGUUAUCACGAACAAAAGUCAAGCAAGUAUUUUACUUUUGAACUUCAAGCUUCAAAUUCCGAUUGACAAAUUGCGAUAAAUUAAAUUCGGGAAAAGAGCGACAAAUAAAAUUAUAAAAUUAGAAUAUGAAAUCUUGCUAACUGAAGGGAAGAGAGAGUUUGAUAAUUUGAGAAUUGAGAUUGAGAUAAUAAUUUUGAGUGAAGAAAUGAAGAAGAGGGGAG
This 557-nucleotide long non-coding RNA is filed under the name Nicotiana benthamiana. RNAcentral describes it as "long non-coding RNA (NBEN_LNC033972)". Lineage: Eukaryota; Viridiplantae; Streptophyta; Magnoliopsida; Solanales; Solanaceae. The record is from RNAcentral.